GGAUAUGAGGGUGAUCUGGCUGCGACAUUUGUCACCCCACUGAUUGCCAGGGUUGAUUCGGCUGAUCUGGCUGGCUAGGCAGGUGUCCCCUUCCUCCCUCGCUGCUCCGUGUGUGUCCCUCCUGAAGCUGCGCGCUCAGUCAAAGAGGACGACCUUCCCCACUAGAGGAGAACUGUUCUUCAGUCAAGGUAUACGAGUAGCUGUGCUCCCCUGCUAGAACCUCCAAACAAGCUCUCAAGUCAAUCUGAAAUGACACAUAGUCACUGAUCAAAGGUCAUCCUCUAUGGCAU
This 290-nucleotide small nuclear RNA is filed under the name Dasypus novemcinctus (nine-banded armadillo). Its description in RNAcentral is "7SK RNA (ENSDNOG00000027272.2)". It matches the Rfam family "7SK RNA". Rfam says of the family: 7SK was discovered as an abundant small nuclear RNA in the mid-70s but a possible function has only recently been suggested. Two independent studies have found that 7SK RNA binds the CDK9/cyclin T complex (known as elongation factor P-TEFb). The record is from RNAcentral. Lineage: Eukaryota; Metazoa; Chordata; Mammalia; Cingulata; Dasypodidae.